GUGAAAACAGUCAUUUUUAGGAGACAGAUUAGUUUUGAGACCAUUUUAUGUAAAUCUAUUGACAAAGGCACUGACUCAUAAAAAAUUAUUAGCAAAUAUUUCUGCAUCUAAUAAGCAUCGACUUCUCUCAAUGUCUUGGUUAAAAAAAUACUUCCAAAGUGAAACUUGUGCUGAAGUUGGAGAUGCAAGUCUAUUGAAUGUACUUUUUUGAAGUCCCAUGGAUGUCCUUGUUGGACUUCUUGCAAAGGAAAGCUUAUGUGUUUCAUACAGUCAUGGGGAAAAGAAAGUUUUCACAAGAUUCUUUGCAGUCUUGUGAAAAACUGAGAACGACUCAUGAUUCCAUAACAAAAGAUUAUUUUUUUUUUUUGCAUUUUUUUGCAUGGUUUUAUUGGUCUCUGACACCCCACUGUUUUCCCACUCUUCUUUACAGUGUUGCUUCAGUUCAUUGAGCUUUGCAUGCAUUCAUUUUUAUAGAACGCUCUUAAAACUCCACAUUUCAGUCAGGUUGAGGUCUGAACUUUGGUCGAUCCAUUGAACCACCUUGAUUCUUUUCUUUGUAAGUCAUAUUUUAGAUGUGUUGCUAUGUUUAGGAUCUGUUGCAUGGCCCAGUUUCAGCAGUUGUCUGUAAUUGCAAAGUGCCGAACUCAUGUGGCUGCAAAGCAUGCCCAAAUCAUCACGCUUGAAUGGCAUGAAGUAUUGGCACAUAUAUGGUGUGUUUGUGUUUUUUCUUGAUGUGGCAUUGUGCAUCUGUUCAAAUUACAUUUUUCUAGAUAUGAUUUAGCAAACCUAAGCCAUGCUGCCAUGUUCAUUUUAGAGAGAAGAGGACUUCUGUUGGCAGUCUUAGAUAAACCUCUUGGCUUUUUUUUUCUGUGUGCCUAUUCUCUGAGCACUGCAUGGUCUGAACUUGGGUUAAAUUUUCUUGGAUGUUUAGUCCUGCAAAGAUUAUAGCAUUUUGUUUUAACACACAACUGAAUGCUCUAGAACAGCAAACUGACAAAACAUCUGAUUUUAUAGAGGUGCUCACAUUUCCUAUGAUCAGUUAAAUGACCAUGUAUCACCCCAGUAUCACACAGACCUCCUGAUCACGAUUAAAUAAUUCUCAUCUUUCUGGAACCAUUAGAAUUUUCUUUCUAGCCCGAAAUGGUUGAAAGUUAU
This is a long non-coding RNA of Astatotilapia calliptera (eastern happy), 1155 nucleotides long. NCBI's taxonomy places the organism in Eukaryota, Metazoa, Chordata, Actinopteri, Cichliformes, Cichlidae. The record is from Ensembl.